GGGACACGUGGUAUCCUGUCUGAAUAUGGGGGGACCAUCCUCCAAGGCUAAAUACUCCUGACUGACCGAUAGUGAACCAGUACCGUGAGGGAAAGGCGAAAAGAACCCCGGCGAGGGGAGUGAAAAAGAACCUGAAACCGUGUACGUACAAGCAGUGGGAGCCUCUUAAUGGGGUGACUGCGUACCUUUUGUAUAAUGGGUCAGCGACUUAUAUUCUGUAGCAAGGUUAACCGAAUAGGGGAGCCGAAGGGAAACCGAGUCUUAACUGGGCGUUAAGUUGCAGGGUAUAGACCCGAAACCCGGUGAUCUAGCCAUGGGCAGGUUGAAGGUUGGGUAACACUAACUGGAGG
Molecule: ribosomal RNA, 350 nt
Filed under: Escherichia coli
Lineage: Bacteria; Pseudomonadati; Pseudomonadota; Gammaproteobacteria; Enterobacterales; Enterobacteriaceae
Description: partial 23S ribosomal RNA
Rfam family: Bacterial large subunit ribosomal RNA
Source: RNAcentral